GGACCUGUACUACAACGGUUCAACAUCCAUCUGCCUCGCUUUUCUGUGACAAGCGAUAAAACUGGGAAAUAUGUUAUGUAGGAUGGGUGUCUCAAUAUUAUUAUUUAUACUAAAAUGUAUAAAUAAUUGUACUUGUAAGGAUGAGAAUGUAAGAUUUAAAUGCCAUUCAAUGUGGGAAUAAUGUGUUUAUCUGGUGUGAGAACAUUUAAAUGUUAUGAGUAUGAGAAGGGCAGGAAAUCAAAAGAUCUUGUCUCUUUUACCUGCUCUUYUUCGAACAAAUAACGUAAAAAGGGCCUGCCUAGAAUGGAUUAUUGUUAGAAACCUGGUUUUGGGGUGUGUUUUUGUUGUGUUCAGUUUGUUUGUGCAGAUAGUCUGGAGCUGCUGUCACUGGAGGGCGGAACCACUGAUUAUCACUGACACCUGCAGRUCCUCUCCUGCAAUCAUCCAGGGGAUAAAAGGAGUUGGCUGUCAGUUCUCCAGUACCUGAGUGUUUGCCUGCAAUGGCUUCCUCCACCACCUCCUGGUUCAUCUACCAGAGUUUCCCUGAGCCUCCUCGAGAACCCAAGAUCUCCUGGAGCAGUUCUGAGACUGACAGCUUCAAGGUCUUUGUCCCCGGUCCGCACGGUAAUCUGUCCACCCUCCAACUAUCUGGCUGCACUGCACUGACUUGUCUUUCACUCAACCACCCCCCUCUGGUGGACGCUCACUCACAACCCAAGUAAGAGAAGUUUUUUGGUUCCUCAUCAUUUCCUCAGUAUUUUUGUGUUGCUCAUCAUAUUCUCCUCUGCCUUCAGUGAAUUCCUUUCCCCCGGGUCUCCAGCCCCAGAAGGAGAUUCUCUUAACUUAUUUGCUUUUUAUUUGUAAAUAAACCUUUUGAACUUU
Long non-coding RNA from Austrofundulus limnaeus, 882 nucleotides. RefSeq lists it as uncharacterized. The transcript has 2 exons. NCBI's taxonomy places the organism in Eukaryota, Metazoa, Chordata, Actinopteri, Cyprinodontiformes, Rivulidae. The record is from RefSeq and is a predicted model, not a curated record.